CGCACUACUCCGCCCGAGGCGUCCAGAGCCCAGCCCGGGGACCAUCCUAUUCCUCUAGGCUCCCGGCUCCAAGACGUCGGUUUUGUGUCUCUUAACGACCGCUGUUGGCGUACUCCCCAAAGCCAUUUCUACGUGUUCAUCCUCACCUUGGCGGGGGGACCACGGUCCCUGCCACGUCCCUCCUCGCGAGCGGCUGCGACCCGCCCCAGCCGCCCAAGAGCCGCGACUGUUGGAUCGAGGCAGCCCCCCGCUCGGGGUGUCCGCGGUCGCGAGCAGGGCCUCCGGCUCUGACGGCUGUUGGAUUCGUGGCUCUCCCCGUGCGCGGCAAAGAGCUGAAAACAUUCCCGGCCAAUGGAAGGUGGCAAGAGGAGCGGCCAGGCUGAGCGCAAGCCGCAUAGCGGCUCGUGUCCGAAUCAGCCAACGCUCCCAUUCCCAGAACAAUCCACAAGGACCUUAAAGCGGAUCCUGGUCUGCCUGAAGUUGGGCCAAUAACAUCUGAAAUCAGAAAAACCUUCAGACCUUUCAGCCCGCACUACCGCAUGCUGGACACGCAAGUAACUGAUCUCUUAGAAAAGUUACUGUAUCAGGUCCCUUGUCCCUUGCAGAGAUUCAGAUUAACACUUCAUAAAUAAGUUCUUUCUUUGUUGUACGUGAGGGAAGAGUUUAAUGAGGAGAGGAGAAGCGAAGCUGUCUUUUUUUUGUGGAGGGGGGAUUUAGUCCUAUUUUAAAAGAAUCAAUCUGGUUUUACUAAUGAAUUAAUAAGCCGUUAACAUACCAUAAAUAAUAUAUUCAGAAAUAAUAUAUUUUCAAACGCUUAAUCCCUACUACAUGCAAAGCACAAUGCUGACCCCUUUGGGGUAUCACAAAGAUAUAUUGCAAAGUUUUUAUUUUUGGUAUGUUGAGGUAUCUAGUCUCAUAGGAAAAAGUUUGUAACUUAUGGGAAGCUUCAACGUUUGAGAGGUUCCUGUUGGCCCUAGGAAACAAAAGUUUUAACCAAUAGCCUUCCAUGAAGGAGCAUAUUCCUUAUUACAGAAUAUAUAAAUAGGACCUUCAAACGUUAGUAAGUUAAUUCCACUUCUUUGUAUUUUUAAAUUAGUUAAAUAAGGAGGCCAUUUGACGAGGUGGUUCUUGUGCCCUGAAAAGCCUGUAUAAGCAAACCAAAACCAAAGUGUGCAAAUGCCUCAGUGUUAAGAAAUGGAAACCUAAGGACAACCAAUCAUAAGCAAGCAGACUUUUCCAAAUAAGGCACCAGCUUACGCUUGUGAAAGAAAAAACAAAAUGGUGUGGGUAGGGCUUCCCUGGUGGCACAGUGGUUGAAAACCUGCCUGCCAAUGCAGGGGACACGGGUUUGAGCCCUGGUCUGGGAAGAUCCCACAUGCCGCGGAGCAACUGGGCCUGUGAGCCACAACUACUGAGCCUGCGCGUCUGGAACCUGUGCUCCGCAACAAGAGAGGCCGCGAUAGUGAGAGGCCCGCACACCGUGAUGAAGAGUGGGCCCCGCUCGCCGCAACUAGAGAAAGCCCUCGGACAGAAACGAAGACCCAACACAGCCAAAAAUAAAUAAAUAAAUAAAAAAUAAAAAUACAAAAAAAACAUGGUGUGGGUAUUGCUAAGAGAGCUCUCUGAAAUGGAGCCCGGAGGCCAUUGAAGAAGUAUGACUAAUGCACAUCUCAGCCUGGGUGGAAUCUGAACUUAGACCAUUUGUUGUCUUAACACAGGCAACCAGAACAUCUGCCCAAUGUUCCAGAAACUCAAGAUAUUUAUUGGACCCUUACCCUAAAAUAACUCCUGAAAGAGUAUCCCUUAAGAGUAAAUAUUUCCUUUCUUGUGUCCAGUCAAUCAUAAUUCUUGCCAGACAACUUUAACAACUUCGUGGUUGUGUGUGACUCUCUCUUCCCCAAAACACUGGGUUUUACCCGAAUCUGUGUUUCUCUUUUUUUUUUCUUUUUUUUUUUUUUUUUUGGCCACACUGCUUAGGGGAUCUCAGUUCCCCGACGAGGGAUUGAACCCAGGCUGCGGCAGUGAAAGCCAGGAAUCCAAACCACUAGGCCACCAGGGAACUCCCAAAUCUGUGUCUCCUGCGUUGCAAUUCCUAAGACCCCAAAUAAACUCUUUUUGUAUUUGCAACCUUCUGCAUUUCUUUGUCAACAAGCUAUAGCCACUCAAGUAAUUUCCUUGCUUUGCUUUGGCGUCUUCCCUGAAAAAUAAUUUUCAGUAGAGCACUUUUAUGGAUACUGGAUUCCAGUCCUGUUCAUUGCCUCUGAGGUUUUGUCAUCUACCUACAAAUUGGACUGGAUCCUGAAUUCUUCUAGGUUUCUCCAAUAUCUGAGUCACCAAGCUAACAUUUCCACAUUUCUCCCACUCUUCUGACUUAGAAUCACUAAGAACAAAAACUGCCCUUUUCUCAAAGCUCUGAAAGCUGAAGCUGGAUGACUUGAUAUAAACUUCAGAGAAAUCGCCUCAACAGCUCAUGCCCAGACAAACUUUGUGCUUUUUGCUCUGUGAGCCACUCAGAAAGUUCACUGGAACACCUUAUGACAUCAACCAGAGAUAACAGGAAAAUCUGUCAGAUUGUCACUGCCUCUCCUCAUUCUGACUGAAGAUGCUUCAAGCCUAACAUCUAGAAAUCUUCUUGACUAACUACUCCCUGGACUCAAAACCUUUGUUUAUAGUCUGUUCUAACCAUUAACCUUGUUUUUCUUUUGUUUCCAUUGUAAUGUGUCUUAUUAAAUACAUGAUUGCUUGCACCAU
This is a long non-coding RNA of Phocoena sinus (vaquita), 2751 nucleotides long. The record is from Ensembl. NCBI's taxonomy places the organism in Eukaryota, Metazoa, Chordata, Mammalia, Artiodactyla, Phocoenidae.